AGACUAAUUGAGAAACUCAAACUUUGAUUUGUGGUUGAUGCUAAAAUUUUUCAAGUACAUGGGUAUUUAUAGCUACUAGUACUAGUAGUAGUACUACUACUGCUAUUACUACCAAAAAUAUUAUUGCUACUGCUUCUACUACUGUUACUGCUACUCUGCAACUACUGUUGUUAUUGCUACUGCUGGUACAACUGCUACUACUGCUAAAUUUAGAUUUAAACAAUGUAUUAAAAUCAAUAAAAUUCAUAAA
RNAcentral lists this long non-coding RNA (250 nucleotides) under Carica papaya (papaya). RNAcentral's name for it is "long non-coding RNA (CPAP_LNC004081)". The record is from RNAcentral. Lineage: Eukaryota; Viridiplantae; Streptophyta; Magnoliopsida; Brassicales; Caricaceae.